Molecule: long non-coding RNA, 9276 nt
Organism: Leptidea sinapis
Lineage: Eukaryota; Metazoa; Arthropoda; Insecta; Lepidoptera; Pieridae
Exons: 2
Source: RefSeq, a predicted model, not a curated record
GCGCCCCGCGCUGCGCGGGCGGCGGGAGCGCGCCGAGCCCGACGUGGUGGCGGACGGGCCGCCCGAGCUGGCCGGCGUGACGUUCGGGUUCGCCGUCAACGAGCAGCUGCUGCGCGCGCCCUGCGACCUGCUGCGCUCCGUGCCCACCACCUCGCCGCAGCUGCAUCAGAUCAUAGAAUACGUCGCCGCGGCUUGGGACGAAGUGGUGCGAUGCGGUAACGGCAAGGUGCGCUACUUCAGCGAGUAAGGUCGCGGCUUGCGGCACUCGUGUGGACGUUGUCUCGAAUAACUUCGAGCUGGACAAAUACUGUGUUUGUGAACGCAGCUCUGCCUCAUUAUUACUUGCUGCAUGCAUUCGGCGUCUUGUGUGAAGUGUCACAAAGUUGUCCCGCGUUGAAAUAAAAAUAAUUUUAUAAAUUACGUUUGUAUCUUGAAACGCUUUUAAUGGAUCAUACCAAAUAAAAAAUAAAAAAAAAAUAGUUUUGUGUGAAUGUUUUAGUGUAAUGCUAGUAAGUGAAACAUAUAUUGUUAAAGAUGCAUUGUGCUCUUGCGUCGUUUUAGUUCAAAAUGUAGAAGGUUGAUGUCUGUUCAGCCACUACAUAUCUUAUUUUUUUAAACUUAUCUGACCAAAACAACAUGAAAUAAACUCAAUCAUAUUCUUGUAAAUCUUGUCAAUAGCCGCUGUGAAGUACGUAAAUCCGUGGCCGUGUAGCCCGGUGUUGCUGUCAAUUGCGCAUAGUUCCCACUUGCAGCGUACUUCAGGGUGGAUCUGAAUAUUGAUUGAAGAUGAUUAGGGCGACCACACACAUUCAUUUUCUGAUUCAUACUAUAAUGAUGGUGAAAAUAAAUGGCUGUAGGGCUGCGGCGGUGUAGCUUACUAGUGGCUGGUUGUCGCGAAGUCGAAUCAUCAGAACUGUUUUCCGAACACAAAAAUAGAAACGCGUGUUUGUCGAAUAAUGUUUACAUUUUUUAUCGAAUAAGUGCAUUUGGAAAACUGAUCAGGCAAUCUAAAAAUGUAAUCGGGAAUUGAUUGUGUGCGGCCGCGUUUAUAUUUAUAUGUUUUAGUAUAAUUUAAUACAGUUAUUUUUAUUACAAUGCGAUGUUGAUUGUGCAAUAAAAGUUUUUUGCUUUUGCGGCUGUUACUGGCUCCAGACACAUUAACAAAGUCGAGCUAAAUAUAGAUUGAAUGUCACCCGUUUCUUGUGACAUAUUGAUGCAGUGCGUUAUUUAUGCUAUUAUAGUGUUUAUCAGAUAGUUUUUAUUGAAUUAUGUUUUUAAAACUUAAAAUACAGGCUGGAAUUUCAAGGUAAAGCUUCCUUAAUGGACUAAUAUUAAGUAUAUAUGUUUGUACGGUCAGCACACUUUGUGUCCAUUGACAUUGAGAAAGAGAGUAAUAAAAUCUAUCAUAUACAGGAUGUAAUCGGUUAGUUUGAUCAGGAUAUUAUUGCGUACGUUACGUUAUCUGUAAAAUGACAUCAAUAUCUUUUUAAAAAAGCGGCCAAGUGCGAGUCUGUCAGCGUUAAUCGCCUGGCCACAAUUACCUAUUACAUCCUGUAUAUUCAAUUAAUAAAUCAUUUAUUAUUUUAGUAGAAAUAAGUUGUCAAAGACAACUUUAUUCGCGCGCGAAAUCUAUAUAUCAUUUUUUGAUACCAUAAUAUAAAUCUAAGUUAUUUUGCAACAGUAAUGAUUUCGUGGCCAAACUAUCAAAUAUUUUUAUUAAAAUAAAACUGUCACACCUACUACCGUAGGAUAGGCAAGAAUAUGUAUACAUUUAUACGCGAUCUCUUCGAAGGAAAUCGCAUAGAUCUAUAAUAUAGUAGCGACACUGGGAAGCUUUGCCUGUGAAUAUUUGUAAAUUACCAAGCGAACAUUAUUUGUUGAUAUAUUAAUAAGAAUUAUGUGAAUUCGUUUAAAUUAUUAUUAUGUAUGUAUAACGUCCGUCAGAUUUUUAUGUAUUAAGAACAAAACUAUUCCUGCUAAUACAUAUAUCACGAAUAUAAAGGAGUUUACUACACUGCGGUGAGAUACCGCAUCUCGUGUAUGACAAGUAAAAUAUGUGAAGCCAUUGCAAUUACAAACCUUUAACGGUUUUCUGGUUAUUGCAACCUUUAAAAAAAACCCAACCAAAAUUUCCUCAGUCAUGCCAUUAAAGAAGGGUUGCCUUAAAGCCUUCUUACUCAGACAGAGAACCUACCCCACUUGAAACCCCUGAGGGUAAGAACCCUUAAAAGAGGGAAGAAAGAUCUUAAAAAAUAUAUGGCGUUGAGGAUAUGAUUUCUACACAGUUAAACUUCGACUUUGCAAAAUGUAUUGAUUUGUUAUAUUAAAGUCCCCUGUUGUUAUUUUGUUAUCCCUCACUUCAAGAAUUAAUUAAUCAAAUUAAUUUAUGAACGAUGCGGCACUCCGACCCGUGACCUCUCGGGUUUCGUCCGAGCCCUCUUACCAACUGAGCCAGCCAGAACUUGGUAAUCUCGGUCGGGGGUUCGAGUCCCGCAUCGUUCAUAAAUUUUGGUUACAAAUUUAAUUUCUAUAACGGCAUAAGUUUUUAUGGUACGUAAACGCGUCGCAGUGUUGUGGCCCGGCCCUAAUGCCGUAUUUUAAUUGUAUUUAAGCAGGUGUUUCAAAACUUAAUCAAUAAUAAUUAUUGUAUUUUGUCUUUGAUUUGAACACGACACCUGAUUAUGGAUUACGUGUUGAGACCGACCUACUGGUGGAUGGACUUUCGAAUCCGUCUCAAUUGAUUACGAAUCUACAAUUGAGAAUAUAAGAGUUAUUCUUCAGAUUCAUUCUUUUAGCGAUAUACAUCUUUAUUGUACAUAUAUAUACGUCACAAUUAUCUGUGCAGCUGAGAGACUAUCGCUGCGCACCCAGUUUGCAGUUCCCAUCAAAUAACAUGCACCGCUUCAGAGAGCAAUACGGGUCCUCACACGAAAUUGAGCCCCGUACAUAGUAGUAUAUAUAGUACAUUGUUUUAGACAAAUAUUGUAUCGAUGACUUAUCGCAUCGCGAACAGCAAGUAUUUGACAUAGCUAUAAUGUUGUGAUGGAUGAUUCGAUAUAGGCGGUAAAAUACCAUACAAAUGUCUUUCGGUUGCUCCGCGUUGGUCUCUCAGUGAAUAAGUAGAUUACUAUUAUAUUGCCACUAAAAAUAGGGAAUGAAAGGUUUAGAAUGCAUGCGAUAACGUAUAAUCAAAACUGCACAUCUGUGUUAUACCGCGAAUCUCUGAAAUUAAUAUUAAUUCAUACCUUCAUAAAUACGCGCGUAUUCCUUAAAAUCCGUUAAAGGACCUAUAGUUGAGGUGAUGAAGUGGCACCGGAAUAAGAAACAGUCGUGCUUGUCAUAUUUUGGUGACUAAUUUAUAAAAAUGUAGUUGGCUUAGGGGAAUUGAUAACAGCGCCAUCUACCGGUACAAAUUCUGGGAGCAUGUAAAGCAUCCAUCAAUAAAGGUCCAUAACCAAUAAAAUGUCGCCUAUAAACAACUUUGAUAGAUCUCUUCGAGCAAGCAACAUCAUAGACAAAGUUAUGUUAUGCUUAGAGCUUAUGAAAUUAAUGUCACUUUCUCGAAUUAUUUAUACUUUUUGGCGGCAUAGUUUUUGUAUACAUUUAAGUCGGCUGAAUGGUGAACAUGUAAAGGUCCAGAAUUCUGUUCCGUGUCUUUUCAGCAAAAAAUAAAAUAGAUAAUAUUUACAAUUUAAUGGGUUAUAUUCAAUUAAAUUUGAUAUUUGAAUUCAAUCGCAUUUUGGUUAUGGUAAUAGUAAUAAUUUCACUAGUGGAGGCUCCUUUGCACAGGAAGCCGGCUAGAUUAUGGAUACGACAAUGGCGCUUAUUUCUGUUGUGAGGCGGUAAUGUGUAAGCAUUAUUGUGUUUCAGUCUAAAAGCUAGUGAAAUGAGACUUAACAUCUUAUAUUAAGGUUGAAGAGAGGAGUAUGAUGAGGAUCAAGGUGACGAUCGCAAUUGUAGUGCCGCUCUGAGUUUUUGGGUUUUUCCAUAAUCCUGAGCGGCUCUGCAUUGUAAUGGGCAGGGCGUUUCAAUUACCAUGACGUUGAACGUCCUGCUCGUCUCAUCCUUUAUUAUCAUAGAAAAAAAUUUUAAAUGGAUUCAAUUCCAGCUCAGUAUAAGGAAAAAAAUAAGUUCAACAAUCGGCAAUAUUAUAUGAAAUACCUAUUUAUCCAGUUCCUACUGCAAGCUCACUACGCUUGUAUGGCUAGUCAAGAUUGACCUUCUUCGUCACUUGACGGUAAUUAAUCACCACCGGCCAUUUUCUCUUGAAACUGAGGUGAAAUUGUAGACAAUUAUUUAUUUAGUAACGGUUUCUAAGCUAAUUAAAAGGGAGAACCUACUCAUGCCAAAUCUAUAUAGAAACGCAAUCACUUUAGAACCUUAUUAUAAUUUUGUUAAUCAACCAUUGUAUACAGUGUCGGAAUAUUCGAGUGAGGUUCUGGUGAAAUUUAAUAAAAAAUAAUUGAAAUUAUGAUAGCUUUAGUUGAAGUUCCGCCGUGUGAUUUGUAAAUAAUAGGAAUCGGCGCUGUCUUUAAAAUAUGUAUUUGGUUAUCUGUGCUGUAAAGUAUCACUCCACAGACUAGCGAUCACUUGUAAGAAAAUCUAGUUUCAUAUAGUAUCGCUAGGGGCGCUAGUAGCAUCUGUAAGCUUGGCUAAUAAAAAAUUAUGAAUCUUUGGCGUCUUCAAUGCCAGGAGAAUUUUUCGCCAUAUCACAUUUGAAACGGUAAAGGCGAUGAAUACUUAUAUUAAAUCUGUUUAAAAGUAACUGAAGGUAGGCUGAAAAAGUAUCAUUUCAUAUUAAGAACAAUACAUUUCGUAAUUAUUAUGUCUUAUUAAUUGCCUGAAAAUAUAAUACCAUAUUAUUGUUCAGCCAAAAUUCGUUGACAAUUAUUAAUGUCAAACUUAGAUGUGUCACAAAUAACGGUUUGUGACUGUUUCCUUGUACCACAGCUUGUUGCUUUUUUGUAUAGAUGUUAUCCGUUCGUGUAUGUUUAAAUAAUAAUUAACGAUUGUAUUGUAAUAUGUAUAUUUCUAAGCAUUGGAAUUAUGAUCUUGUACAUAUUAAGCGUUUGCGCGUAGAAAUUAUUAUAAAAUAAAAACAUAAUGCAUAUAAUGAACGUAAAUUAUUCGCAAUCAUUAUUUGAUACAAAAAAAAAUCUAAUUGAAGAUUUUAUAUGACCAGUACAUUUGAGAUUUGACACUGAAAAAAAAGAGUGGUUUUAAUUUAAAAAUACUGGAUUUGGAUUUAAUUUUAUUUCAAGAAUGAAUAUUUAGCUAUCUUAUAGUACUUACUGCCCCAAGAUCUCAAUUUGCCUGAGAUGAAAAUUGUAAAUGAAUUUUUUUUGGUGUUUCGAAACUAAAUUAUAUGUAUACAUGUUUACUGGUCGUUAGCAUUUUGUUAUCGUAUCUAAUAAUAUAUAACAGUAUCUAUAUCAUCUACUUAUUUGUUUGUAUAUUUACAUAAUUUUCCCGCGAAUACGUUAAGGACAUUUUUAUGAAACAAAUUCAAUAUAAAAGUACGAAAAUAAAAACUAAAAAAAUAUUAGACGGCUAUUAUAGGCUUUUGCCAAAGAAGGUUUUUUAAGCCCGACCAUAUUACGUUAUAGAACCAAGUUAUAUUGAUCCAAAAAAACCGUAAUAAAGUCUCCGCCCAUCUCGCAUAUUGAAAUUUAGUUAAAAAAUGGUUGGAUUAAACAAAUAAGUAAAAAGAAGACCGCGUGCCACUAUUAAUCUUUGUAAUGUUACUUGUUGUCAAAAUGCGUCCCAAUUAGGACGCCUUAGUGUGACGUUUAAGCGGUGUGCGCUCUUAUAUCUGCUCUUUUUUAUUAUUUCCUGAAAUAUUUGUUUUUGAAUUUUAUUUCGCGAUUUUAAACCGUGCAUGGUUAGCUUUAACUGUUAUUUAUUGCAUAUUAAGUUAUCUAUCAUUGUCUAGUUUAGUUUCUAUUCGCUCUAAUUUACAACCGUUAUUUCCUUUUCGCGUGUAAACGAUUGUCCACUUAAUGGGUCGGUGCCAUGUCCUGCCGACUGCCAUGCUAGCUCGGUCACAUGUAAGUACGUAUGUAAGCAAGCACAGUUCACACAGUGACAAGAAAGCUCAUAACAGACCAGUACUUACGCGGAUCGCUCGAUGUCUAAACUCGAAUAUACGCGUUUUACCAUGGAUGUAAUAUAUAUUUCGACCUGAGUGUCUUGCACCCCUAAAAGCCCCGUUUGUACGUACAAGAAUAUCUUGUUUAAUUAUAUAACAUAGAAUAGGAUACAUUACUUGUAUGCACGAUGGCGAUGCUUUGCGGUAACCGCGCGAUUCAAGAGGCAUUAAGUUUGGGAGAAGUUAAAUGUUUUGUAUGUUCUGUUAUUAUCAGCAACUACUUUGCAACAGGUCGUGAACCAUCGUCCGACAAGCAGUCUCACCCGUUGCCCUUCCCCGCGCCCCGCUGAUUUAUUACCCCGUGGGACGGACGCGCAUGUAUUUGUCGGACUAAAGUGGCACCGCGCUCGGUCACACAUUGAGUUUAAACUGAGGUAGGUCAGCGCCAUAGUGGUCUUACAUUGUUGUCGCAAACUGUUAAUAUUAAUAAAUUUUAAAAUGUAUGUGUCCUUUUUUAUUCCUGUUGUUAAAAUUAUGUACUAACGUUAGAUGACAAAAUGUUAUCAUUCAUGUAAUGGUUUACAACAAUUAGGUUAAAACGUAGAUGAGGCCGCUGUUGCGCUGACCUUCCUCCUCCAGUGCGAGCUGUCCGUCUCGGGUGUGUUAAUUGAUGCGCCAUGUGCGUGUUUGGUUUGGGCAACGGGCGCAGUGCUUUAUGAUCGGAGUCCUAAUGCGGUCUGAGUAGCAUUUAAUCAUAUUCUGAUGCGUUGGCUAAAUUUUUUCUUGUUUAUUUCUUUGAAUUCUCUUAAUGGUAAUUAUAAUAAUAAACUUUAUUACAAUAAGAUUCAAUUUGUGUCAUUAAAUUGAUUCACUCUACCCAUAUAAUUGUAGUAGUGUGUGUAAUGGAAUAUAUCCAUUGUACAAUAUUGACAGUACUCUGUGUAUCACGGUGUCCGCCCCGCUUCAAACGUGUUGCCGCCGCCGACCGAAGCGAGCUGUUAUAUUUAUAAUAUCUUCGUAUUGUAAGCUAUUAUGUACAUAGUCACGUGGAGAAUGUUGAUCUCUUGUGUUGUUAUUGAGCGGAGUUUAUUGCGGACGUGGCGUGCCGUGUGAGUCCUACUCAAAACUAAAAAAAAAAUACUUGAUUCGGUUUCUCGUACAAAGACUGUUCUAUAAAUCGCGUUACCCGGGCAUUCGUGGAAAGAUGGGUCUCCUCUCAUUUGUUUUAUUUUGGGUAAAAAUCCUAUUUCAUUGGUGAUCUUACGUAAAUUGAGUGUUAUUGUAAAACAUAUUUUUAUGAAAAACGCGCUCUUAAUGGUCAGUUAAGUUUUCUCUGUAUCAAAUGACUGCAAAAUAUUAUACUUGUCAAAUAUGACAUAAGUUCUGUUAGAAUUGUACCGCCUUCCCUCUACGCUAAUAAUAGAAAUACUUGACUUAUUUAUAAUGUUUACCAAAAAUGGUGCGCUCGCAAUAAACUCUGGUUAAUGCGUCGUUAAAGUUGCGUAUUGCGUGUGCUUCGAUGUAGUUCUGGCGUCUAAUGUAAAUCCGUGUCGCGUAGCUUCUUCUUAACAUUGAGUUGCAUAAAUAAAUUUAUAAAAUGCAUUUUCGAAUUUGUAUUCGUUUCUGUCAUGCCUUUAAUUACAUGUCAUUUUAUGUGUCAUGAAAAUGUAAGCGAAUGAGUUUAUGGGAAAGAGAUUCUCUGAUAAAUUGUGAGCUUCGAAUAGUUGGUUUCGAUGGGAUUACAUUUGAAACUGGCAUUUUACUCAUUAUCAUUUAAAAUACGAGUGUGCGUUAGUUCAACUGACGAAUCAAAAGAUAUAUUUGUUUGCUAGUUUCUAAAGAUAACGACUUAAUGCAAAAUAUAUAUCUUAUAUUCUAAUAAUAAAUUUACUUUCGCAUUGUCCGAGUGUAUUUGUGAUGAAACCCCGCACCUACUCAGAUUUAGUCAGUUGGACUAACAGAAAGUAUUCCGCGACGGUUCUUUAAUUUGUUGUUCGUUUUUCCAUCCAAAAUAAAUACUGUAGUCAGUGUAUGUACAUAUUACAGAUUUGUCAUUUUAACUAGAUGAGACGAAGGUAGUGUUUUCGUGUUGCCUACUUACAAUUACCACAGUAGCGAUGUGUAUGGGCUGAGUGUAUAAAUGUUAUUCAAUACGUAAUGUUACCACAAGUAGAUGUCGAGGUAACAUCGUCAAAUAUAAACAUCAACUGUAUAUAAUUAACUGCUUUGAUAGAUCCCGCGUUUUGUUAAUGUGUGGCAAAUCUUUAAAAAAAUAAGUGCUGUUUUAGCUAAAUACCUACUGAUUGCUUUGUUUCGAUCUGGGCUGUCACCUGUUGUAAAAGCGAGGAUACAGACUACGUAGUGUUUUUUUUUUCACUCUUGUCAAUGGUGUCCAAGGUCAAACUUAUCCAUUCUAGUUUACCAUAACUACAUGUGGCGCUAAACCAAACUAUUAAUAUUAAUUUAUAAGUAUGUAAUAACAUUGUUUAGCACAUUGUUAAUCAUCUAGCGUUAUUCUUUAAAUAUAUGUUAUCUUCUUUUAAUUGAAACAAAGCGCCCACAUAUAAGGUCUUGAGCUUGACUUUGCUGUAAUUUGUAACAUUAUUAUUCAUUUAUAUGAAUAAUAAUAAUAAGUUAUCAAUUAAAUUAAUAAUAUUUAAUGGAAUUACUAUACCUCAAAACAAUUGUCAGCCCUGUCGACGAACGCUUCCAACUACUAUCAAUCAGUACUUAGCAAAAUGGAAAAUCUAUAAAUAAUUAUUUGAAAAGUAUCGCUUGUCUCGUUUUAACUUACUUUUAAAUGUCUAGAAAUUUAUAAUUUUUAUAAGGCUAAAUAACUUGAAACAUAAUAAAAUGUAUCGUUACGAAACUAACUUCCUAUUAAGUUCAUGUUCUAUAUUUUUACUCUGUUGAUGUUGAUCAUAAUCUGUGGUGCCUCGUGUAGCUGCACCGGGUCAGGUUUAUAUUGCUUGUAGUCAAUUCGAUCUUUGAUAAUAUGUAGUUAGAAUGGGGGAUGUAGUCACUAGUUUUUAUUUAUUAAAACUAAUUUUCUGCAAGAGAGUAAAAAUUUAGCGACAUGUUCGCAAUGUAUUAUAUCUGUCUAUAAUACAGUGCUGUAAAUCAACCUUCAAUUUACAGUUAUGUACUUUUUCACUGUUUCCGUUUUCUUAAUAAAAUGUUGAAAAUAA